This 253-nucleotide ribosomal RNA is filed under the name uncultured bacterium. RNAcentral describes it as "partial 16S ribosomal RNA". It matches the Rfam family "Bacterial small subunit ribosomal RNA", at positions 524 to 776 of the family's 1533-position model. The record is from RNAcentral.
UACGAAGGGGGCUAGCGUUGCUCGGAAUCACUGGGCGUAAAGCGCACGUAGGCGGAUCUUUAAGUCAGGGGUGAAAUCCUGGAGCUCAACUCCAGAACUGCCUUUGAUACUGGCAAUCUUGAGUCCGGGAGAGGUGAGUGGAACUGCGAGUGUAGAGGUGAAAUUCGUAGAUAUUCGCAAGAACACCAGUGGCGAAGGCGGCUCACUGGCCCGGUACUGACGCUGAGGUGCGAAAGCGUGGGGAGCAAACAGG